This 77-nucleotide transfer RNA is filed under the name bacterium. Its description in RNAcentral is "tRNA-Met". It matches the Rfam family "tRNA". From Rfam's summary of the family: Transfer RNA (tRNA) molecules are approximately 80 nucleotides in length. Their secondary structure includes four short double-helical elements and three loops (D, anti-codon, and T loops). RNAcentral also lists the same sequence under 2 other names. The record is from RNAcentral.
GGCGGCGUAGCUCAGUUGGUCAGAGCACGCGGCUCAUACCCGCGGCGUCGGGAGUUCGAGUCUCCCCGCCGCCACCA